This 1197-nucleotide long non-coding RNA is filed under the name Marmota monax (woodchuck). Lineage: Eukaryota; Metazoa; Chordata; Mammalia; Rodentia; Sciuridae. The record is from RNAcentral.
GCUCAGUGUUUGAGCAAUUUAAUGAAGUGUUACACACAAGCUGACCUUGUAGAGGGAGAAGCUCGCGGCUCUCUCGGCGUUUCGGGAGGCCCUGGCCACUCUGUUUGACAUCUGAGCUUAACACCAACCCCGGAUUGGACUCAUUACCGUCUGCGAGGUUCUGGGAACAGCCAAGGGGGAGACCAGCCUUUGCUAGUGCAGUCCAGUGACAGGAAGGGGUGGUAAAAAUAGUGGCUCCUGAUCCUCAGCGUCGUGAGGCCAGAGGUGCUGGUUUGAAUGACAUGUUCAGUUUUCAUAAACAUGGCAAUGGUCCCCCUGCGGAGCCAGACAGGAGGAAAGGAUGGGGCUCAGAGUGGGCGGUGGACAGGGUCAGCCGAGUGUAAAUGCCAGAGCUUCUGGCUGGCAUCUGAUCUCCAGGUGAGCUGGUGGAGUUGGGAGGGGUGUGUCUCUGCCAGAGGAGCAAGAAACUCCACAGAGAGUUCAGGAUGAAGGAACCAGAGGCAUUCGGUGAUGCUACAGAGAUGUGCACCCAUAGAAAAGGGUCAGAGGAACAGGAUUCUAAGACCCCUGUGGUUAUUGAGCUUUGACCAUAUAUCACUUCUCUCCCUAGCUGCCCUAUUCACUGUGUUUCAGCCACAGUAGUCUUUGGCUAAUUCUUAGGACAUUCAAAGAUCCUCCCACCACAGUCCCUUUGCACACACUUCUCCCUCUGCCAAGGAUGCUUCUUUUUGUUUUUCACAAUGACAGCCACUUUAAGCCUUUUUAUAUCAGUUUACAUGUACUCUUAUCAGAGAGGCAUCUGGGCAGCUCAUGAGCAGUGUAAGCCCACAGGUGCUGGGUACAGUAAUGAAUUAAUAAUUGUUAGACAAUAAUCCUCUGCAUUCAUUUUUGGAAAGCUCAAUACAGUCAGCCCUCUGAAUCCACAGGUUGUGCGUCUGCACACUCAACCAACCAUGGUUUGAAGGGAUUUGGAAAAAAUGCAUCUGUAUUGAAUAUGUACAGACUCCUUUUUCUUGUCAUUAUUCCCUCAACAAUGCAGUCUAACAACUAUUUGCACAGAAUUUACAUAGUAUUAGGUAUCAUAAGUAAUCUAGAGAUGAUUUAAAGUAUAUGGGAGGAUAUGUGUAGGCUCUGUGCAAAUACUGCCCCGUUUUUCAUAAGGGACUUGAGCAUCUGCAGAUUUGGGUAUCCACGGGG